GUAGGUGGCUAGCGUUGUCCGGAUUUACUGGGCGUAAAGAGCGCGCAGGCGGUCGUUCAAGUCGAGUGUGAAAGCCCCCGGCUCAACUGGGGAGGGUCACUCGAUACUGAUCGACUUGAAGGCGGGAGAGGGAAGCGGAAUUCCCGGUGUAGUGGUGAAAUGCGUAGAUAUCGGGAGGAACACCAGUGGCGAAGGCGGCUUUCUGGCCCGUUCUUGACGCUGAGGCGCGAAAGCUAGGGUAGCAAACGGGAUUAGAUACCCCGGUAGUCCUAGCCGUAAACGAUGGACACUAGGUGUUGGUGGUAUCAACCCCGCCAGUGCCGAAGCUAACGCAUUAAGUGUCCCGCCUGGGGAGUACGGCCGCAAGGNUA
Molecule: ribosomal RNA, 371 nt
Filed under: uncultured bacterium
Lineage: Bacteria
Description: bacterial SSU rRNA
Rfam family: Bacterial small subunit ribosomal RNA
Source: RNAcentral